GACGAACGCUGGCGGCGUGCCUAACACAUGCAAGUCGAGCGGUAAGGCCCCUUCGGGGUACACGAGCGGCGAACGGGUGAGUAACACGUGAGCAAUCUGCCCAUCACAUCGGGAUAACUCCGGGAAACCGAAGCUAAUACCGAAUACGACCACCUCCGGCAUCGGAUGGUGGUGGAAAGUUCCGGCGGUGAUGGAUGAGCUCGCGGCCUAUCAGCUUGUUGGUGGGGUAACGGCCCACCAAGGCUUCGACGGGUAGCCGGCCUGAGAGGGUGACCGGCCACACUGGGACUGAGACACGGCCCAGACUCCUACGGGAGGCAGCAGUGGGGAAUAUUGGACAAUGGGCGAAAGCCUGAUCCAGCAACGCCGCGUGAGGGAUGACGGCCUUCGGGUUGUAAACCUCUUUCAGCAGGGACGAAGCGCAAGUGACGGUACCUGCAGAAGAAGCACCGGCCAACUACGUG
This 464-nucleotide ribosomal RNA is filed under the name uncultured bacterium. RNAcentral describes it as "partial 16S ribosomal RNA". It matches the Rfam family "Bacterial small subunit ribosomal RNA", at positions 28 to 507 of the family's 1533-position model. The record is from RNAcentral.